GUACACGCUGUGACUAGCAUAUCAAUAAGCGGAGGAAAAGAAACUAACAAGGGUUCCCUCAGUAACGGCGAGUGAAGCGGGAAGAGCUCAAAUUUGAAAUCUUGAAAGGUCACCUUUCACGAAUUGUAGUUUAAAGAAGUGUUUUCUGUUACGAUCGUAAUAUAAGUUCUUUGGAAUAGGACACCACAGAGGGUGAGAAUCCCGUCUAUGAUUGCGAUUUGUAGCUUUGUGAUACACUUUCAAGGAGUCGGGUUGUUUGGGAAUGCAGCCCAAAACGGGAGGUAAAUUUCUUCUAAGGCUAAAUAUUGGCGAGAGACCGAUAGCGAACAAGUACCGUGAGGGAAAGAUGAAAAGAACUUUGAAAAGAGAGUUAAAUAGUACGUGAAAUUGUCAAAAGGGAAGCGUUUAACACCAGUGUUGUUUUCUGAAAAUCAACCUCUGUUAGCUUUAUGCAUGUUUGUUUAGACCUAAUCAGCUAUCUUUCAUGUUCUAUUGUUUGCAGUGGUGCACUUUUCAGUUUACAGGUCAACAUCAGUUUUUUUUACCGUAAAAAAGUUAAAGAAAGGUAGCUCAUGGCUCCGGUCGUGAGUGUUAUAGUCUUUUUCCUAUGCGGUAGGAGAGACUGAGGUCUGCAGUGUAGGCUAUUUGGCUAGAUACUCAGGUGCUAUGUGAUACCAUUUCAUAAACAACUUGUUGAUUAUGUUUUGUCUAUUGCAUACUCGCUUGUACUAUCAUACCUACGCUUAGGAUGUUGAGUAGCGACAUACGCAC
RNAcentral lists this ribosomal RNA (771 nucleotides) under uncultured Neocallimastigales. RNAcentral's name for it is "partial large subunit ribosomal RNA". The stretch from base 4 to 661 matches the Rfam family "Eukaryotic large subunit ribosomal RNA", at positions 24 to 664 of the family's 3401-position model. The record is from RNAcentral. Lineage: Eukaryota; Fungi; Neocallimastigomycota; Neocallimastigomycetes; Neocallimastigales.